Magnolia sinica is the source of this 1729-nucleotide long non-coding RNA. RefSeq lists it as uncharacterized. The record is from RefSeq and is a predicted model, not a curated record. The transcript has 3 exons. Lineage: Eukaryota; Viridiplantae; Streptophyta; Magnoliopsida; Magnoliales; Magnoliaceae.
CAUCCCAUCUCUCUCUCUUUCUGUGGUCGUGCAACUAUCUUCCUUGUGGCUAUGCAACCAUCACCCGUCUGGUGAAAAUCCAUUAGUGAAACAGAGGGUUUCUUCCCCAAAUCAUAGAGGGUUUCUCCCCGAAAUCCAGAUCUAUGGCUCAAUGACAGAUCGUUGCGUGUCUUGUACCAUGGAGGUGAGAUUUCUUUCUUGAUUCUUAUGAAGGGAAUAAAAAAGGGCAGGUUUCAACCUUAGCAGGUGUAAAAAAAGCACGGCCACGGUCAUCUGAAUUUGAUCCCGGUGUGAAGGACAUUAAAGAGUAGGUGAGAAGAAAUGGGUUCUAUAAAACCCAUUGAAUGGAGUCAUCGACCAUGGUCGCAUCUACUCACAGUGGUGAAAGAAUGACAAGGCUUUCAAUAGGGGACACCAUCUAGAGGCUACUUGCGCUGGUACUGAAGACCGGCAGUGGUCGACUACUUUCUUUCCUUUUUUUGAGGUUUUAUGCCAACAUUAAUGGCAGCCCAUGCCGCUGCCGCAAGGACGACCAAUAUCGAAUAAGAAGAGAGGAGAGGCUUCGGGUUGUAGCUAAACGAAAAUGGCAUAAAAAAGCACGACCACAGUCAUCUGAAUCUAAUCCUAGUGUGAUAGAUGACCAUUACUAUAUGGUCGAGGAAGAAAACCCAUUACAACUAUAGCAGAUGGACGGAGAGUUGUCAACCCAAAAGGAUUGCAGUACUACAACAAUCUCAUUGAUGAACUUGUCCUCCAUGUGGCGGUAAUGAUGAUGAUUUCAACAUUAAACGCAUUUAGGCACAAGCACAUGGAAUGAGACACAGGUCAUAUUUCUUUUCUUUUUAAUUGUAUGUCACCCCUCCACUACCCUUGUGGUUCUUUAUCACGUCUCCCACAUGCAUCUGAUUGCUUCAAAUAGAAAGUAAUGUCUACUUAAUGUUUUUAGGACUAAAUGUUGUCUUGGCUACCCAUGCCUUUUUCUUUUAUUGCAUUUCCAAGCAAUUCAGUCCACUACAUUGCUUUUGGAUGACUGAGUCUUUUAAUAAAUAUAAUGAGGCUUUGGCUUGCUGUUAAGAGUUCUCUAAUUAAGAAUUAAGAGUCCUCUGGACAGUGCAUAGUAAUCAUAUUACAAUACCGCAAUAGUGAAGCAGUUUCUGCAUAAUGGAGUCCACCAGUUGUUUCAUGUGGUCCUAUGGCUGCGCUACAAAAAAUGCAUUUUGGGAGGACUGGGAAUGAGAAUUAGUUUGAGUUAAGAAACACUUUGUAAGAUGGCUCAUCUCGAGUGCAUCCUGUUUUUAGUUGUGUUUGGACUAAGCAUUGAGGCCCAUGAUUGGGCGCUAUGGUUUAUCUAUGAUUAGGUCCACAUAAUAGUCUGGGUCAACAUGUGCAAUAUGUACUGCACUUUAUAUUGCUGCCUUGCUUGUUGUAUAAUAGGUAAUUUGCAAUAUGGAUGCAUACUUUUAAAGUACUGCGUUAUAUAAUACCCACGUAUUAUAAUGCAUGCUGUAAAAUUUUCUUGUUACUAAGAAAUUGUCUCUGUUGCAGAUAUGUCGUCGACUGCUUUUAUCGAGCCACUUCUAGUCAUUGAUUUUGUAACUCAACUCUUGAACAAAGAUGUCUUAGCCAGACCAUUGUCUGAUGCUGAUCGAGUGAAGGUCUUGUUUUCUUUUGUUUCUUCUAUUUGGAUAUUGACGGUUUUCUUUUUUCUUUUUAGAUAAUUAUUUUGGCA